Molecule: transfer RNA, 72 nt
Filed under: Amborella trichopoda
Lineage: Eukaryota; Viridiplantae; Streptophyta; Magnoliopsida; Amborellales; Amborellaceae
Rfam family: tRNA
About the family: Transfer RNA (tRNA) molecules are approximately 80 nucleotides in length. Their secondary structure includes four short double-helical elements and three loops (D, anti-codon, and T loops). Further hydrogen bonds mediate the characteristic L-shaped molecular structure. tRNAs have two regions of fundamental functional importance: the anti-codon, which is responsible for specific mRNA codon recognition, and the 3' end, to which the tRNAs corresponding amino acid is attached (by aminoacyl-tRNA synthetases). tRNAs cope with the degeneracy of the genetic code in two manners: having more than one tRNA (with a specific anti-codon) for a particular amino acid; and 'wobble' base-pairing, i.e. permitting non-standard base-pairing at the 3rd anti-codon position.
Source: Rfam by way of RNAcentral
GCCUUUAUAUCUCAGCGGUAAAGCUUCGGUCUUUUAAACUAAAGGUCUGUAGUUCGAACCUGCAUGGAGGCA